GAUAAGUCAAUUUCAUUUAUUUUCAAUUUAAAUCAUUCAGAACAGCGCUUUCGCCAAAAUACCAUUUUCCUUUAUAACUGCCCACGCCUGGCACUCCCCCUCCGAGACAGCUCUCACCCAUCUGUGGGAAUAAUCAAUACACAACAACAAAGUCAUGGUGCGGUCUAGUGAUAAGCAGCAACAGUAGGGCCGCAGCCCAGCCCCCAGCCCACCGCCCACAAAAGCAACCAACCAAUCGAGCAACCCAUCACCCCCAUCGUCAAACCGCAUUGACAGGAAGAACAGUCAAAAGCAGUUAUCCCCCAUUCCCCCAAGCGCACCUGCAAUUUCCGGUGCCUAGAAAAAAACGAUGACACGCGAAGAACGUCAACGAAUUGUGGACACGUCGAAUAGCAGCAGCAGCGGUGAGGAUGAGGCCAGGCCAGUGGUGCGGAGGCGGAGCAUCCGCGACACGGUGCUGUCGCCGCCCAAGGAGGAUACGGGAUGCUGUGAUCCCUCCAGCACGCCGCACCGUUUUCUCGCACUGGUGUUUAUGUGCCUCCUGGGAUUUGGUUCCUACUUUUGCUACGAUAACCCCGGGGCUCUGCAGGAUGUUUUCCAAAAGGAGCUGGACCUCAACUCGACCGAAUUCACGCUGAUCUAUUCUAUCUACUCGUGGCCGAACAUUGUGCUCUGCUUCGUGGGCGGUUUCCUGAUCGAUCGCGUUUUUGGCAUCCGACUGGGCACCAUCAUAUAUAUGCUGAUUGUGCUCGUCGGGCAGUUGAUAUUCGCCACUGGCGGUGUCCUGGGUCAUUUUUGGUUGAUGAUCAUUGGUCGCUUUGUCUUCGGCAUUGGAGCAGAGUCGCUGGCUGUGGCCCAGAACAGCUAUGCGGUGCUGUGGUUCAAAGGCAAGGAAUUAAAUAUGGUCUUUGGCCUGCAACUGUCGGUGGCCCGCUUCGGCAGCACCGUAAAUUUUUGGAUAAUGCAGCCCCUGUAUGGCUAUGUCUCAAAAUCGUACGCUGGCUACACUGGACUGGGUGUUGCCCUGUUUCUGGCCUCCACCACCUGUGUCAUGUCUUUGAUUUGCACUCUGAUUCUGGGUUGGAUGGACAAACGGGCCGAGCGCAUUCUGAAGCGUAAUAACAAUCCGGGUGGAGAGAUUGCCAAGCUGAGCGACAUAGUCACCUUCAAGAUGGAUUUCUGGAUGGUAUCGGUGGUGUGCGUGGCCUACUAUGUGGCCAUCUUCCCCUUCGUUGCCUUGGGACAGGCCUUCUUCGUGAACAACUUCCACAUGACGCCGGACGAGGCGAACACUGUCAACUCGAUUGUCUACCUGAUCUCGGCUAUUGCCUCGCCAUUGUUUGGAUUCAUCAUCGAUAAGGUGGGGCGCAAUGUAACCUGGGUGUUCUGUGCCACCAUCUCCACGUUUGUGGCUCAUGCUCUGCUGACAUUCACCCACCUGGACCCGUACAUUGGCAUGAGCAUUAUGGGGCUCUCCUAUUCCAUGUUGGCUGCCAGUCUUUGGCCGUUGGUUUCCCUGAUUGUUCCCGAGUAUCAGUUAGGCACAGCAUAUGGCUUCUGCCAGUCUGUACAGAAUUUGGGCCUGGCUGUAGUGACCAUUGUGGCUGGCAUCAUUGUGGAUAGUAGUGGUGGCAGCCACUUCUGGCUGCAGCUCUUCUUCAUGUUGUUCUUGCUGAUUUCUCUGAUGGCAACCUGUGCGAUCUGGGCCUACAAUCGCAAACAUCAGGGCAAUUUGAAUAUGUCGCCAGCACAGCGGGCCACGUAUCACACAUCGAUGUACGUGAAUAUUGAGUCGAGUUGAUUGAUGUUUGAUGUACUGAGCAUGCUAUUGAUUGAUUAAUUGAUGUCUUGACGUUGUAUUGGUGUCUUUAUCUCUAUUGUAUAUCUCAAUCCGACGCGCAACUGUGGAUCGACGGCCUCUUUUGGGCCACUAAAAAUGUACUACUAUACUAACUAUACUCGCAUAAGAACAAAUAACCCAAUUGUGAUGUUACCGCCAUCUCUCUAUCGUACUUGACUUGUUAUGCAACGUUGGAGCACAUUCUGCUAACCGCACAAAUGUCGUGGAUCCUUGAUCUUGGUCGUUAUCGUAUUCGUUCCGUUCAACUCCUAGCCAAUAUCCAAAUACUAUUAUACAUAUCAGUAUAUGCAGAAAUUAUUGUUAUAAUUGUGGAUUAUUGUUUUGUUUUAAAAUAAAUUAAUGUAAAUGUACAUUCACCGAAAAAAGCCAAAUAAAAUGCAGUCAAUUAUUUAUCUGGGCAGACACAAUAAUAAAUAAUAAUAAAAAAAAAACACAGAAAAAAAUAUAAAUACAAUUUUUGGAUUGAGAUGAAGAACAGAACAAACGCAGGGUCUUUGAUCAUUAUUUCAUUUUAUUUUCUUGAAGAAUAUGUUUUUGUAUUUGUACAAAAUAAAUAAAAUAAAUUAACUAAAGCAUAAUGCAGAAAUUCAAACAAUUUUGGCUUUUUUCUUUCAAUCUUUCGUUCGUUUCAAAUGAGUUUAAAUGAAGUCAAAACUUUAAUUGAAAGAUACAUCAAAUAAAAAUAUGUUUCAAAAAAAUCUCUAUGACAGACUAGAGAAAACAAUAGUAAUAAUAGUAAUAAACACAUACUCGUAUGUAGAUGAGUUAAUACAUUUUCCUUUGUUGUUUUGAGAAUUUUGUUCAAGGAUGGAUGAAAACAAAGCUUGG
This 2689-nucleotide unclassified non-coding RNA is filed under the name Drosophila pseudoobscura pseudoobscura. RNAcentral's name for it is "GA11470". Lineage: Eukaryota; Metazoa; Arthropoda; Insecta; Diptera; Drosophilidae. The record is from RNAcentral.